RNAcentral lists this ribosomal RNA (109 nucleotides) under uncultured eukaryote. Its description in RNAcentral is "partial small subunit ribosomal RNA". It matches the Rfam family "Eukaryotic small subunit ribosomal RNA", at positions 1676 to 1785 of the family's 1831-position model. The record is from RNAcentral.
UCGCUACUACCGAUUGAAUGGUUUGAUGAAUUGCGCGGACCAUCCGCUUUGGAGGUAACUCCUUGGUAGAUUGGGAACUGUAAUAAAUCUGAUCAUUUAGAGGAAGUAA